RNAcentral lists this non-coding RNA (139 nucleotides) under Soboliphyme baturini. RNAcentral describes it as "Eukaryotic large subunit ribosomal RNA". It matches the Rfam family "Eukaryotic large subunit ribosomal RNA", at positions 1096 to 1234 of the family's 3401-position model. Lineage: Eukaryota; Metazoa; Nematoda; Enoplea; Dioctophymatida; Soboliphymatidae. The record is from Rfam by way of RNAcentral.
GAAGUUGUACGAAUGAAACGUCGAUGGCGAGUGGGCCAAUUUUGCUAAGCAGAACUGGCGAUGUGGGAAGAACCAAACGUCGAGUUAAGGCGCCUGAUACGAACGUUGAACAGAUACCAUGAAAGGUGUUAGUUGACAG